Molecule: ribosomal RNA, 497 nt
Filed under: uncultured bacterium
Lineage: Bacteria
Description: partial 16S ribosomal RNA
Rfam family: Bacterial small subunit ribosomal RNA
Source: RNAcentral
GAUGAACGCUGGCGGCGUGCCUAAUACAUGCAAGUCGAGCGAACAGAUGAGGAGCUUGCUCCUCUGACGUUAGCGGCGGACGGGUGAGUAACACGUGGAUAACCUACCUAUAAGACUGGGAUAACUUCGGGAAACCGGAGCUAAUACCGGAUAAUAUAUUGAACCGCAUGGUUCAAUAGUGAAAGACGGUUUUGCUGUCACUUAUAGAUGGAUCCGCGCCGCAUUAGCUAGUUGGUAAGGUAACGGCUUACCAAGGCAACGAUGCGUAGCCGACCUGAGAGGGUGAUCGGCCACACUGGAACUGAGACACGGUCCAGACUCCUACGGGAGGCAGCAGUAGGGAAUCUUCCGCAAUGGGCGAAAGCCUGACGGAGCAACGCCGCGUGAGUGAGGAAGGUCUUCGGAUCGUAAAACUCUGUUAUUAGGGAAGAACAAAUGUGUAAGUAACUAUGCACGUCUUGACGGUACCUAAUCAGAAAGCCACGGCUAACUACGUG